UUCAAUAAGUCAUUGUGGAAUAAAUAAAGACUGAAUUUUGAGGUCCUUGAUUUUUAUUGAGGUCAAAAUGAGAAUGAAGCAUGUCUCUUCAGCUACCAUAAAACUGGCCUUGAAGAUAUUGCCAUUGAUGGAGAGAGUAUAUUUUAUGUGUGUCAGUGACUUUCAACUUGUAAAGAAUGCCUCUGUGCAGAAGAGGAGGUGCCAGCAAAAGCAACUGGGAGAAGAGAUCGGAAGGGAGACGUGGCAACCCAUGGAGACAAGAAGAGGGGGCCUGGCUGGCUGCACUGCAGCUCCUCUGGAGUGAUCGCAAGAAUGAGGCCCAACUCUAAAUCUGAUUUCACCUUCCUAAAGAUAUCCAUUGCUUACGUGGCAAAACCCACUUCCUCAGUUAUAAUCAAACCAUUCUGUGAAAUGUAGUACAUUUUAAAGC
RNAcentral lists this long non-coding RNA (430 nucleotides) under Fukomys damarensis (Damara mole-rat). Its description in RNAcentral is "lncRNA (ENSFDAG00000029458.1)". Lineage: Eukaryota; Metazoa; Chordata; Mammalia; Rodentia; Bathyergidae. The record is from RNAcentral.